This 301-nucleotide ribosomal RNA is filed under the name uncultured bacterium. RNAcentral's name for it is "partial 16S ribosomal RNA". It matches the Rfam family "Bacterial small subunit ribosomal RNA", at positions 509 to 809 of the family's 1533-position model. The record is from RNAcentral.
CAGUAGCCGCGGUAAUACGUAGGUGGCAAGCGUUGUCCGGAAUUAUUGGGCGUAAAGGGCUCGCAGGCGGUUUCUUAAGUCUGAUGUGAAAGCCCCCGGCUCAACCGGGGAGGGUCAUUGGAAACUGGGAAACUUGAGCGCAGAAGAGGAGAGUGGAAUUCCACGUGCAGCGGUGAAAUGCGUAGAGAUGUGGAGGAACACCAGUGGCGAAGGCGACUCUCUGGUCUGUAACUGACGCUGAGGAGCGAAAGCGUGGGGAGCGAACAGGAUUAGAUACCCCCGUAGUCCCUGUCUCUUAUAU